UUCUUCCUGGAUGUUUUUAGUCUCUGUUUUCCUCUAUGGCUUCGUAUGGUGAAGCAACAUAACGAGGUUGAGGCGUAGAGAUAUCCAGAUGAAGGUGCGGUCAAGGUGGAGCUUAUCUUUGGUUGUGUCGCUUCACGGGUUGUGCCUUGGUGUAGGCGUUGUGUUUCGGUAUUUGUCAUCGUGAACAAGUGGUUCAGAUGAGGUUUUGUUGGUUCUGGCAUUGUCAUUGUGAACUUGGGGUUCAAAUGAAGUAUCUGCUCUGUUGCGUGCUAUCUCGCCUAGUUCAUGGCAAGAAAUCCGGCUAAUCAUAGAUUAUUAAGUUCUUACCUUUUCUAUCUAAUAUUGAUUUGUGUGUGGGUUUGUUGAAAGAGUUUAGGAUUUUGUUUAUGUCUCAGCUGUUCAUGUGUCAC
Molecule: long non-coding RNA, 410 nt
Filed under: Brassica rapa (field mustard)
Lineage: Eukaryota; Viridiplantae; Streptophyta; Magnoliopsida; Brassicales; Brassicaceae
Description: long non-coding RNA (BRAP_LNC006514)
Source: RNAcentral